GACGAACGCUGGCGGCGUGCUUAACACAUGCAAGUCGAACGGAAAGGCCCUGCUUUUGUGGGGUGCUCGAGUGGCGAACGGGUGAGUAACACGUGAGUAACCUGCCCUUGACUUUGGGAUAACUUCAGGAAACUGGGGCUAAUACCGGAUAGGAGCUCCUGCUGCAUGGUGGGGGUUGGAAAGUUUCGGCGGUUGGGGAUGGACUCGCGGCUUAUCAGCUUGUUGGUGGGGUAGUGGCUUACCCAGGCUUUGACGGGUAGCCGGCCUGAGAGGGUGACCGGACACAUUGGGACUGAGAUACGGCCCAGACUCCUACGGGAGGCAGCAGUGGGGAAUAUUGCACAAUGGGCGGAAGCCUGAUGCAGCAACGCCGCGUGCGGGAUGACGGCCUUCGGGUUGAAAACCGCUUUCGCCUGUGACGAAGCGUGAGUGACGGUAAUGGGUAAAGAAGCACCGGCUAACUACGUG
Molecule: ribosomal RNA, 468 nt
Filed under: uncultured bacterium
Lineage: Bacteria
Description: partial 16S ribosomal RNA
Rfam family: Bacterial small subunit ribosomal RNA
Source: RNAcentral